Molecule: ribosomal RNA, 2073 nt
Filed under: Natronoflexus pectinivorans
Lineage: Bacteria; Pseudomonadati; Bacteroidota; Bacteroidia; Marinilabiliales; Marinilabiliaceae
Description: partial 23S ribosomal RNA
Rfam family: Bacterial large subunit ribosomal RNA
Source: RNAcentral
GUAGGUGCAAAUAACCAUUGAUCCGUGAAUUUCCGAAUGGGGCAACCCGGCCAUUAGCAAUAGUGGUCAUCCUAUUUAUAGGAAGCAAACCCGCUGAACUGAAACAUCUAAGUAGGCGGAGGAAAAGAAAACAAAAGUGAUUCCCUUAGUAGCGGCGAGCGAACAGGGAACAGCCUAAACCAAUAUUGUUUCGGCAAUAUUGGGGUUGUAGGACCGACAUAAUUAUUAUUAAUACGAAGUGGAAGCAUUUGGAAAGUUGCAUCACAGAGGGUGACAAUCCCGUACACGCAAGUAUGAUAAUAAGGUUGGUAUCCUGAGUAGCGCGGAACACGAGAAAUUCUGUGUGAAUCAGCCGGGACCAUCCGGUAAGGCUAAAUACUCCUGAGAGACCGAUAGUGAACCAGUACCGUGAGGGAAAGGUGAAAAGCACCCCGAACAGGGGAGUGAAAUAGUACCUGAAACCGUGCGCCUACAAGCGGUCGGAGUCCUGAGCUAGUCGAAGGAUGACGGCGUGCCUUUUGCAUAAUGAGCCUACGAGUUAUUCCUUACCAGCGAGGUUAAGUGCGUUGUAAAGCACGGAGCCGAAGCGAAAGCGAGUCUUAACAGGGCGGUUAAGUUGGUAGGGAUAGACGCGAAACCUUGUGAUCUACCCAUGGUCAGGUUGAAGCUGUGGUAACACACAGUGGAGGACCGAACCAGUAAACGUUGAAAAGUUUUUGGAUGAACUGUGGGUAGGGGUGAAAGGCUAAUCAAACUGGGAAAUAGCUCGUACUCCCCGAAAUGCAUUUAGGUGCAGCCUUAUAAUAGUUUUGCAGAGGUAGAGCUACUGAUAGGACGCGAGGGCUUCAUCGCCUAUCAACUCCUGACAAACUCCGAAUGCUGCAAAAUGUUUUAUAGGAGUGAGGGCAUGGGUGCUAAGGUCCAUGUCCGAAAGGGAAAGAACCCGGACCAUCAGCUAAGGUCCCCAAGUAUAUGCUAAGUUGAAGAAAACGCGGUAUGGCUGCAGAGACAGCUAGGAUGUUGGCUUGGAAGCAGCCAUUCAUUUAAAGAGUGCGUAACAGCUCACUAGUCGAGCGGCCGUGCAUGGAUAAUAAUCGGGCAUAAGCAUAUCACCGAAGCUAUGGAUUUGUACUUAGGUACAAGUGGUAGGGGAGCAUUCCAAACAGCGCAGAAGCAGUAUCGUGAGGUAUUGUGGAGUGUUUGGAAAAGCAAAUGUAGGCAUAAGUAACGAUAAAACGGGUGAGAAACCCGUUCGCCGAAAGACCAAGGUUUCCUGAUCAACGCUAAUCGGAUCAGGGUUAGUCGGGGCCUAACGCGAACCCGAAAGGGGUAGUGGAUGGAAAGCAGGUUAAUAUUCCUGCACCUGUCAUACAAUAAAAGUGACGUGGGAUCGAGGUGCCUGGGGGCUGACGGAAUAGCCCGCUGAGCUUAGGCUACGGCCGAAGCGAAGGUAAGCAGAUUCUACCGAGAAAAGCGAGUAUGGCAGCUCGUACCGUAAACGGACACACGUAGUUGGGUUGAGUAUACUAAGGCGCUCGAGUGAUUCAUGGCUAAGGAACUAGGCAAAUUAACCCUGUAACUUCGGGAGAAAGGGUCCCUGCUCUUAAAUGAGUAGGGCGCAGAGAAAUGGCCCAGGCGACUGUUUAUCAAAAACACAUGGCUUUGCUAAAUCGAAAGAUGAUGUAUAAGGCCUGACACCUGCCCGGUGCUGGAAGGUUAAGAGGAGAUGUUAUCUUCGGAGAAGCAUUGAAUUGAAGCCCCAGUAAACGGCGGCCGUAACUAUAACGGUCCUAAGGUAGCGAAAUUCCUUGUCGGGUAAGUUCCGACCUGCACGAAUGGUGUAACGAUCUGGGCACUGUCUCAGCCAUGAGCUCGGUGAAAUUGUAGUAGCGGUGAAGAUGCCGCUUACCCGCAACGGGACGGAAAGACCCCGUGAACCUUUACUGCAACUUAGCAUUGAUUUUGGGUAAGUAAUGUGUAGGAUAGGACGGAGACUAUGAAUCGGGUCCGCCAGGAUUCGUGGAGUCAUCCUUGAAAUACGUCCCUUUGCUUGCCUGGAGUCUAAUUCCGCAA